AGGACGAACGCUGGCGGCGUGCUUAACACAUGCAAGUCGAGCGGUAAGGCCUUUCGGGGUACACGAGCGGCGAACGGGUGAGUAACACGUGGGUGAUCUGCCCUGCACUCUGGGAUAAGCCUGGGAAACUGGGUCUAAUACCGGAUAUGACCUGCUCUCGCAUGGGGGUGGUGGAAAGAUUUAUCGGUGCAGGAUGGGCCCGCGGCCUAUCAGCUUGUUGGUGGGUAAUGGCCUACCAAGGCGACGACGGGUAGCCGACCUGAGAGGGUGACCGGCCACACCGGGACUGAGACACGGCCCAGACUCCUACGGGAGGCAGCAGUGGGAAUAUGCACAAUGGCAAAGCCUGAUGCAGCGACGCCGCGUGAGGAUGAAGGCCUUCGGGUUGUAAACCUCUUUCAGCAGGACGAAGCGCAAGUGACGGUACCUGCAGAAGAGCACGGCUAACUACGUGCCAGCAGCCGC
RNAcentral lists this ribosomal RNA (465 nucleotides) under uncultured soil bacterium. Its description in RNAcentral is "bacterial SSU rRNA". It matches the Rfam family "Bacterial small subunit ribosomal RNA", at positions 26 to 518 of the family's 1533-position model. The record is from RNAcentral.